RNAcentral lists this ribosomal RNA (484 nucleotides) under uncultured bacterium. RNAcentral's name for it is "partial 16S ribosomal RNA". It matches the Rfam family "Bacterial small subunit ribosomal RNA", at positions 30 to 507 of the family's 1533-position model. The record is from RNAcentral.
AUUGAACGCUGGCGGCAGGCCUAACACAUGCAAGUCGAGCGGAUGAAGGGAGCUUGCUCCUGGAUUCAGCGGCGGACGGGUGAGUAAUGCCUAGGAAUCUGCCUGGUAGUGGGGGAUAACGUCCGGAAACGGGCGCUAAUACCGCAUACGUCCUGAGGGAGAAAGUGGGGGAUCUUCGGACCUCACGCUAUCAGAUGAGCCUAGGUCGGAUUAGCUAGUUGGUGGGGUAAAGGCCUACCAAGGCGACGAUCCGUAUCUGGUCUGAGAGGAUGAUCAGUCACACCGGAACUGAGACACGGUCCAGACUCCUACGGGAGGCAGCAGUGGGGAAUAUUGGACAAUGGGCGAAAGCCUGAUCCAGCCAUGCCGCGUGUGUGAAGAAGGUCUUCGGAUUGUAAAGCACUUUAAGUUGGGAGGAAGGGCAGUAAGUUAAUACCUUGCUGUUUUGACGUUACCAACAGAAUAAGCACCGGCUAACUUCGUG